UACGGAGGGCGCAAGCGUUGUUCGGAAUCACUGGGCGUAAAGCGCGUGUAGGCGGCCCGGCAAGUCGGAUGUGAAAUCCCGAGGCUCGACCUCUGAACUGCACUCGAAACUGCCUGGCUCGAGUCCCGGAGAGGGUGGCGGAAUUCCCGGUGUAGGGGUGAAAUCCGGAGAUAUCGGGAGGAACACCAGUGGCGAAGGCGGCCACCUGGACGGUGACUGACGCUGAGACGCGAAAUCGUGGGGAGCAAACAGG
This 253-nucleotide ribosomal RNA is filed under the name uncultured bacterium. Its description in RNAcentral is "partial 16S ribosomal RNA". It matches the Rfam family "Bacterial small subunit ribosomal RNA", at positions 524 to 776 of the family's 1533-position model. The record is from RNAcentral.